Macaca mulatta (Rhesus monkey) is the source of this 1237-nucleotide non-coding RNA. The record is from RefSeq and is a predicted model, not a curated record. NCBI's taxonomy places the organism in Eukaryota, Metazoa, Chordata, Mammalia, Primates, Cercopithecidae.
GGAAAUCUUUUGCAAAUAAUACUUUUAACUGCUAGCUUUUAUAUCUAUCUAUAUUUCCAGGAACUAUGUAUUUUAUUUCUAUCUGUAUUUCCAGGCGCUGGCUUAAAACAUGAAAGGUAUUCAGUAAAUGGAUACUUAUAUAAUGACAGGAUCUAACCACUGGCCUAAAGAUUAUUCAAGAUCCUGCUAAGAAAUUAAAGCCACAUGACAUUCUGAAAUAAAAGUGUGCAGAUGCUUGAGUGAAUCAGCCAAUUCCUCAUGUCUUCACGGCUCCAUCUACUAUCAUGCAACCAUAGUGCCACAAUUCACAUUUCCCAAGGACUUUACAGCUAGAAACCCAGAAAAGAUGGUGAUGAAUACAGAUUGGAUCUGAGAACCAGGGGAGCAGAUGGUGUGAAUCCCAGCUGGAAAGCCAGAGAAGAUGAGAUGAGAUGAGGCAUCACAGCUCAGCAAUGAGGAAAGACAAAAUGAGUGAAUUCCUCCUUUCUCCACCUUUGUUUCGUUUCAGGCCCUUAGAGGACUGGAUAAUUCCCAAGCAUAUUGGAGAGGACAAUCCACUUGACUGAGUCCACUGAUUCAAAUGCUAAUCUCAUCUAGAAAUAUUCUCACAGACACACUUAGAAAUAAUGUUUCAUUCAGGCACCCCUUGGCCAGUCAAGUUGCCACAUAGAAUUAACCAUCAUGUUCACUAUUACUCAUUUAGAAUUUCUGAUAGUAGGGCACAAGUAUGUGUGUUUGUUAAGGCCAAGUGACUUUGUUGAGCCUUUUGAGAAAAUAACUAUGAGAAGGAGAGAUUUGGUAACGUGAAGACCAUCACUUAGCCCUAAGGAAGACUACCUCAUUUAUGGGCCUAAAAUCAGAUUUGAUAAAUGGUCUGUUGAUCGUGAUUGCAAAUUUGUCUCCAGUGGUCAGAGUAUAUACCAAUGACUUUUUUUAAAAAUGCAGUCCCUUGUUAAAUGUUAAAUGCAACUCCUUCCAUAAUUCCCUUCCUAUCCAUGGAAAAGGAAGCUAUGGCAGAAACUGCAUUUAACAUUUAACAAGAAUAUAUUUAUGUAUAUAUCCAGAAGUAUAUCCAUAUACUACACUACAGACAUAUUUCUCUUUUCCCCACAGUCAACCAUUUUAGUAGGCUCAGUGUGGGUACUUUUAUUUGAAUAUGUUACUGAGUAUGUGCAUUUUUAAUUUUCAUAAAUGAUAUUGUUAUAUUGCUUAUUCUUCUUCCAAAGUUUUCCACUAG